This is a long non-coding RNA of Mobula hypostoma (lesser devil ray), 854 nucleotides long. RefSeq lists it as uncharacterized. Lineage: Eukaryota; Metazoa; Chordata; Chondrichthyes; Myliobatiformes; Myliobatidae. The record is from RefSeq and is a predicted model, not a curated record. The transcript is spliced from 3 exons.
GGGGGGGAGGGGCGGCGUUUGAGGUGGAUGGGGCGAGACAGUGGCGUGUUUUACAUAUUUGAUUGCACCAUCAGAGUCCUGCUAAAAUAGAAGUUAAUGGACAGAAAGGGAAAAGCACUCUUGACAGUUCAAGUCUCCCAAAGAAUGGUGGUUGUGAUUAUCGGAUGACAGUCAAGCCUGCUCCACGACGACACUGUGGGAAUUCCUCAGGACAAAAAAGGCCUAAACGUUGUCUGCAGUUCUAUCGCUAACCUUCAGAUGGGAUGUUCAAUCACGAUUGCGUAGCAUUCAAUUCCGGUUACAAUUUCUGAACAAAUGGUGCCUGCAUUCAGCAAGUCCUGGUCAAUGCUCAGGGUUCUUUUGAAGACCCUGACCUGGAGUUACAUGCUGACUUCGGUUCUUUGCAGGAAUGGGACCCAUUCUUGGGGUUUCAGGACUGGCCAUUGUUCGGCACGCCAAGGGUUCGGCCAGAGAGCCUGGCUCGAAUUCGGAUGCCUAAGAUCUUGAGGCUCUGGAGAUGGCAGAUCGAGAGUUGGUGUCACGACAGGAGACCCGUGUGUUGUCGGGGGAGUCAGGAUAUCUGCUGUGGGCCCUAGGACCUGGGAUCUUUGCAAUCUUCAGGCAUAGAGCUCGAAAAAAGCAACGUAAUGGACUUUUUAACAUUGUAAACCAGCAACUUGUUUAUUAUGUCUCCCUGCUCACUGGGAAAAUGGAGACACCUUUUUCUCCCUAUUAGGGAGAGAGAGAAUCUGCAGUAUGUCGAAUGCCGGGUGCAAAGACUUUGGGGUAACUGCAAGUCUAUGUCUUUGCUAUUGCUUUGCUCACGCUUGAGUUCUUGGUGAUGGUGCCCUUGC